RNAcentral lists this transfer RNA (61 nucleotides) under Proasellus assaforensis. Its description in RNAcentral is "transfert RNA-L2(TTA)". Lineage: Eukaryota; Metazoa; Arthropoda; Malacostraca; Isopoda; Asellidae. The record is from RNAcentral.
UCUAGAGUAGUCAAAUAAUGAUACAAGAUUUAAGCUCUUGAGGUAUAAAUUAUCUCUAGAA